RNAcentral lists this ribosomal RNA (502 nucleotides) under uncultured bacterium. RNAcentral's name for it is "partial 16S ribosomal RNA". It matches the Rfam family "Bacterial small subunit ribosomal RNA", at positions 28 to 523 of the family's 1533-position model. The record is from RNAcentral.
GAUGAACGCUAGCGGCAGGCCUAACACAUGCAAGUCGAGGGGCAGCACAGAAACAGCAAUGUUUUGGUGGCGACCGGCGGACGGGUGCGUAACGCGUAUGCAACCUACCUUUAACAGGGGGAUAACGGAGAGAAAUUUCCACUAAUACCCCAUAACAUCGAUCAAGGCAUCUUGAUUGGUUGAAAACUCCGGUGGUUAAAGAUGGGCAUGCGUUGUAUUAGGUAGUUGGUGAGGUAAUGGCUCACCAAGCCUACGAUACAUAGGGGGACUGAGAGGUUGGCCCCCCACACUGGUACUGAGACACGGACCAGACUCCUACGGGAGGCAGCAGUGAGUAAUAUUGGUCAAUGGAGGCAACCCUGAACCAGCCAUGCCGCGUGCAGGAAGACGGCGCUAUGAGUUGUAAACUGCUUUUAAACAGGGAUAAAGCACAGUAUGUAUACUGUGUUGAAGGUACUGUAAGAAUAAGGAUCGGCUAACUCCGUGCCAGCCGCCGCGGUAA